RNAcentral lists this long non-coding RNA (273 nucleotides) under Vitis vinifera (wine grape). Its description in RNAcentral is "long non-coding RNA (VVIN_LNC000657)". Lineage: Eukaryota; Viridiplantae; Streptophyta; Magnoliopsida; Vitales; Vitaceae. The record is from RNAcentral.
UGGGCCCUUGAGGAAUCACCCAACAAAAAUGUCCAUUCAUGUUAUUUGGUAAGCCAGUCCUAUCUUUCUGUGCUCUGCCCUGCUCUGCUCUCCUCUGUCCCUUUUCUCUUUGAGCUCCAAAGUUACAUGUGGCUUGCAAAGAGUUGGAGUUAUUUGGUAAGCCAGUCCUAUCUUUCUGUGCUCUGCCCUGCUCUGCUCUCCUCUGUCCUUUUUCUCUUUGAGCUCCAAAGUUACAUGUGGCUUGCAAAGAGCUGGAGUCUAUUUUUCAUGGCC